GACUCCAAAAUGAGAGCAAAAGAAGAUUAUUGCUUUGAACCACUCAUGUGGUAACUAAGUCUAGGAACAAUGAGGGUUGCAGCGGAAACAGCGGCAUUGGGAGAGCAAGCUUCCUUCCACCAGCUGCAGUCAAAGCUGCAGGUUCUCUGGGGCAGGGAACUGGUCUGUGCUGUGUUGUAGCUGCCAGAGGACAAACAGCGCAGGUUGAGUAAGAUCCUCUUCAAAGGACCAGAUCCCAGGACUUCAGCCACAGUGGCUCACGGGAAAGUGUGUUGAUGAAUUUCACUUCAUAAAUUAUAACUGCUGCUCCUUUAACAGUGGUGAUAGAAAAUAAAUCCAAAUUCUCGAUCUCCAACCACAAUAUCAUUAAGGACCUUCACGUUUCCACCCUCUGUGGAUUGCAAACUAUACAUCCAACAUGGACUACUGAAAAGAAAGAUGAAGCUCUCCAGGAUGCCAAGAAGGUCAUUUGCCCAAGGCCUCACAGAGAGCCAGGGGAAGGUUCUGGGUGUGAACCAAGCUCUCUGGCCUGUCCUCAUACUCAAAAUGGAAGGGACAAGUCGGUGCAGUUGGGGAUUCCGUUCCUCUAAUUAUUCCAGUUACCAGAGGCUUUCAUAUCUUUUCCUUGUCAUCCUAAAUGAUUCGUUUUGAGUGCUGAGGUUUCAUGUUGAAAAUAU
Molecule: long non-coding RNA, 677 nt
Organism: Puma concolor (puma)
Lineage: Eukaryota; Metazoa; Chordata; Mammalia; Carnivora; Felidae
Source: RefSeq, a predicted model, not a curated record